RNAcentral lists this ribosomal RNA (1162 nucleotides) under Chryseobacterium aquaticum. RNAcentral's name for it is "bacterial SSU rRNA". It matches the Rfam family "Bacterial small subunit ribosomal RNA", at positions 139 to 1309 of the family's 1533-position model. Lineage: Bacteria; Pseudomonadati; Bacteroidota; Flavobacteriia; Flavobacteriales; Weeksellaceae. The record is from RNAcentral.
GGGGAUAGCCUUUCGAAAGGAAGAUUAAUACCCCAUAAUAUAUUGAGUGGCAUCACUUGAUAUUGAAAACUCCGGUGGAUAGAGAUGGGCACGCGCAAGAUUAGAUAGUUGGUGAGGUAACGGCUCACCAAGUCAAUGAUCUUUAGGGGGCCUGAGAGGGUGAUCCCCCACACUGGUACUGAGACACGGACCAGACUCCUACGGGAGGCAGCAGUGAGGAAUAUUGGACAAUGGGUGAGAGCCUGAUCCAGCCAUCCCGCGUGAAGGACGACUGCCCUAUGGGUUGUAAACUUCUUUUAUACUGGGAUAAACCUACCCUCGUGAGGGUAGCUGAAGGUACAGUAUGAAUAAGCACCGGCUAACUCCGUGCCAGCAGCCGCGGUAAUACGGAGGGUGCAAGCGUUAUCCGGAUUUAUUGGGUUUAAAGGGUCCGUAGGCGGACUCGUAAGUCAGUGGUGAAAUCUCAUAGCUUAACUAUGAAACUGCCAUUGAUACUGCGGGUCUUGAGUAAAGUAGAAGUGGCUGGAAUAAGUAGUGUAGCGGUGAAAUGCAUAGAUAUUACUUAGAACACCAAUUGCGAAGGCAGGUCACUAUGUUUUAACUGACGCUGAUGGACGAAAGCGUGGGGAGCGAACAGGAUUAGAUACCCUGGUAGUCCACGCCGUAAACGAUGCUAACUCGUUUUUGGGUUUUCGGAUUCAGAGACUAAGCGAAAGUGAUAAGUUAGCCACCUGGGGAGUACGUUCGCAAGAAUGAAACUCAAAGGAAUUGACGGGGGCCCGCACAAGCGGUGGAUUAUGUGGUUUAAUUCGAUGAUACGCGAGGAACCUUACCAAGGCUUAAAUGGGAAUUGACAGGUUUAGAAAUAGAUCCUUCUUCGGACAAUUUUCAAGGUGCUGCAUGGUUGUCGUCAGCUCGUGCCGUGAGGUGUUAGGUUAAGUCCUGCAACGAGCGCAACCCCUGUCACUAGUUGCCAUCAUUCAGUUGGGGACUCUAGUGAGACUGCCUACGCAAGUAGAGAGGAAGGUGGGGAUGACGUCAAAUCAUCACGGCCCUUACGCCUUGGGCCACACACGUAAUACAAUGGCCGGUACAGAGGGCAGCUACUAUGCGAAUAGAUGCGAAUCUCGAAAGCCGGUCUCAGUUCGGAUUGGAGUCUGCA